Molecule: long non-coding RNA, 2188 nt
Filed under: Homo sapiens (human)
Lineage: Eukaryota; Metazoa; Chordata; Mammalia; Primates; Hominidae
Description: non-protein coding lnc-DEGS2-10:1
Rfam family: Metazoan signal recognition particle RNA (bases 236-352)
Source: RNAcentral
AGGAGAGGUCUACCAAGUUUUAGAAUUUGAAUGGCCAAUUUUUGACAAUAGUACCAUGGGAACUGACACUUUAAUUUGUGCAUCUAAAUGUGUCUGAAUUUUAGAAAUGAAAAAUGACAAGUAAAAUGGAAUCUCACAUAUGGGUUAUUCUUUUAAAGUCUGUUUUGUUGCUAAGGUGUCACCAUGCCUAAAUUCAUAAGAUGGUCACCACCAAAUAAUAUUAAGAGCUUAACAGACCAGGUGUGGUGGCUCACGCCUGUAAUCCCAGCACUUUGGGAGGCUGAGGCAGGUGGAUCGCCUGAGGUCAGGAGUUCGAGACCAGCCUGACCAACAUGGUGAAACCCUGUCUCUACAAAAUACAAAAAAUUAGCCGGGCGUGGUAGUGCAUGCCUGUAAUCCCAGCUACUUGGGAGGCUGAGGCAGGAAAUCGCUUGAACCCGGGAGGUGGAGGUUGCAGUGAGCCAAGAUUGCACUACUGCACUCCAGCCUGGGCAACAAGAGCAAAACUCUGUCUCAAAAAAAAAAAAAAAAAAAAAAAAGAGCUUAAUAUUCUUGGGCAAAACAGGCAUCAAUUAUGUACAAAUAAGAUUUAGAAUUGUUAUAAUUGGUUUAAAAUCCUCUCAACUGUGUUCCUAGGUUAUUUACGCUAAUUUUUCUCUUCCUUAAUAGAAGAAAACAUCAUAGAGCAAUCAGUAGAUUUAUCAGUAAGAAAAGGUGCUGGCCUUGGACCUAGUAGAAACACUAGGCAGGCGUUAGGUGAACCAAGUUCUAGUUCAGUCUAAUCUCUAAGCAGCUGGGUGUCCGCGGGCAUUCACUAGGCCUCUCUGGAUUUCUCUAUGGGUAAACUGAAAGAUAACUAUAAUAUUUUUCUCUAGUUCUAAAGUACCGAUUCAAUUUCAAUGCCAGAAACUGAAAUAUACUUUUAAGCCACUAGAGGGAGGAACAAAUAGCUUACCACUAAUUUCAAAGAAUUUUUCAAAGCCAUUUAACAUUAAAAAAAAAAAAAUUGAAAGACCCAUUCAAUUUAAGUAAAUUUAUUUACAUAAUAGUGGUCUGAUUUCCAUUAUUUCUGUUAACUCUUUUCAAGUAUAAAAUAUUAAUGCAGGUCAGGCGCAGUGGUUCACGCCAGUAAUCCCAGUACUUUGGGAGGCUGAGGUGGGCAGAUCGCUUGAGCCCAGAAGUUUGAGACCAGCCUGGGCGAUGUGGUGAAACGCUGUCUCUACCAAAAAUACAAAAAUUAACCGGGCGAGGUGGCGUGUGCCUGUACUCCCAGCUACUCAGGAGGCUGAGGUGGGAGGAUCACUUGAGCCUGUGGGGGCAGAGGUGGCAAUGACCCGUGAUUGUGCCACUGCAUUCCAGCCUGGGUGACAGAGUGAGACCCUGUCUCAAGAAAAAAAAAAAAAUUAAUGGAAAAUAGCAUAAGAUUAAUAUUUAAAAUCCAAUGUUACUAAAAUAUUUUCUGAAAUAUGGUAGUAUUCAUUUUUUCUGGAUGAAAACAUGUUGAUAAAAUGUAUGUACUUAAAUUAGUUUCAGAUAAAAUAUUAUGCAAUAACAAGCUAUAUAAAAGUAGAUAUCAAAAAAGCUACAAGCUCCCUCUCUAACGCCUUAAAAUGCAAAUUAAAGUCUUGCUGAAGUGCUUGCAAAAUCUGUGCUAAAAACCUCCUAGUAGCUUUUGUGACUGCACACAGACACAAACUUCACGGGUUAAAGUCACGACUGUUAAACGACAUUCACAGGACAGGGCAGAGGGUGGCUGAAAUUUGGCAAAAUGUUGUACAUUCAAAUUAUUAUUAUAAUUUUAACUUUAUUAAAUGUUUACCUUCAUAUUUUUAAUACUUAUCAUAUAAAUAAACAUUUUAAGAAUUAGCGAAUUCUUUGUUCAGAACAAUGCUAUUUAAAAAUCUGAUGAAAUUAAGAUGAGCUCCAGGGAUUUUUAAGGUCACAGUCAGUAUUUUUUUUUUUUUUGUUGGCUAGGCUGGUCUCAAACUUCUGACCUCAAGAGAUCCAGCCUGCCUUGGCAUCCCAAAGUGCUGGGAUUACAGGCGUGAGCCACCGCACCCUGCCACACAAUAAGUCUUCUAAUUUACAAUAAAAAUAGUUAUAUGGUUGAUUCAGAUUUUUGUGGCCUAGAUUUUUGGGGAGCCUUUUUGAUUGAUAUGAAUAUAUGUAUUUUUGAGACAGGGACUUG